Molecule: long non-coding RNA, 72 nt
Organism: Varanus komodoensis (Komodo dragon)
Lineage: Eukaryota; Metazoa; Chordata; Lepidosauria; Squamata; Varanidae
Exons: 3
Source: RefSeq, a predicted model, not a curated record
AGGUGGUGGGACUCUGUCAAAGAAGAUGCGGGCCGGAGCAUCGUUCAGCUGAAAGAGGCGGCACUGGAUCGG